UCAACACCAGUUGUGUGAGCAAAGGGAUGACUCAACUGAAUAGCAGGAGAUGGAUUGCACAUCUCUUUUAUCUGCCAAUUGCCUCUUAGAGGUCUUUUCCUGCUUGGCACAAAAGUAAACAAACACAAGCAUUGCCUCUUAAGGAGGACUUCAGACAGGUGCCUGCCCAAGUAACAGGACAGGUCUUCCAGACUACAUGAAGUCAGAGAAAUUAUACCUCAAUGCUUAAGCUAUCAAGCAAAGCAAAAGCAAGUUCACAAUGAAC
RNAcentral lists this long non-coding RNA (265 nucleotides) under Lathyrus oleraceus (garden pea). RNAcentral describes it as "Pisum sativum (pea) long non-coding RNA (PSAT_LNC008781)". Lineage: Eukaryota; Viridiplantae; Streptophyta; Magnoliopsida; Fabales; Fabaceae. The record is from RNAcentral.